UAAUCCGCCCGACCCACAAUGCCGGGGCCGGACAAAGCUCCUCGGCGUUUGCCCCGUGCCGAAAACUUCCCGCUGGUCCGCACGCGGACCGGCGAACACGGUGCAGCGCAAAAGAGCCGCUCGCUGGGCUCCGCCCGGCUCGAAAAGCACGGCUGCUAAAGCAUCACUGAGAGCGCCGCAUCAUGCGGGGCUCUCUUGAUCAU
RNAcentral lists this unclassified non-coding RNA (203 nucleotides) under Hevea brasiliensis (rubber tree). Lineage: Eukaryota; Viridiplantae; Streptophyta; Magnoliopsida; Malpighiales; Euphorbiaceae. The record is from RNAcentral.